RNAcentral lists this non-coding RNA (30 nucleotides) under Rattus norvegicus (Norway rat). Lineage: Eukaryota; Metazoa; Chordata; Mammalia; Rodentia; Muridae. The record is from RNAcentral.
UAGACAUGGUCAUUUUCAGUCUGAGCAGAA